CAGCAGCCACGGGAAUACGAAGGGUGCAAGCGUUAAUCGGAAUUACUGGGCGUAAAGCGUGCGUAGGCGGUUUGUUAAGUCUGUUGUGAAAUCCCCGGGCUCAACCUGGGAAUGGCAAUGGAUACUGGCAAGCUAGAGUGUGUCAGAGGAUGGUGGAAUUCCCGGUGUAGCGGUGAAAUGCGUAGAGAUCGGGAGGAACAUCAGUGGCGAAGGUGGCCAUCUGGGACAACACUGACGCUCAUGCACGAAAGCGUGGGGAGCAAACAGGAUUAGAUACCCCCGUAGUCCCUGUCUCUUAUAC
This 301-nucleotide ribosomal RNA is filed under the name uncultured bacterium. RNAcentral's name for it is "partial 16S ribosomal RNA". It matches the Rfam family "Bacterial small subunit ribosomal RNA", at positions 509 to 807 of the family's 1533-position model. The record is from RNAcentral.